This is a long non-coding RNA of Sitophilus oryzae (rice weevil), 254 nucleotides long. RefSeq lists it as uncharacterized. The record is from RefSeq and is a predicted model, not a curated record. The transcript is spliced from 3 exons. NCBI's taxonomy places the organism in Eukaryota, Metazoa, Arthropoda, Insecta, Coleoptera, Curculionidae.
CUUAGACACGCUUAAACAACAUUAUGAGAAUAAUUUUGGAAAACCAACAAACUCCAAAAAAUUAUUAAAAAAAAUUAAUUACCUGAAGGCGGUAGUAAAAAAAAACUGAUGCCAACAUAACUGGGAAUAAAAAGAAAAAGCUAAGUGCAGCAGAACAACUCAUGUACACGGCACUACAGGGGGAUCAAGAGGAGUGCAAUCCUGUUCUUUUCAAAAUACCUGGACAUGUUGCAGUCGGAAUCCCUUCUGAUGAA